UAACAUGUCCAGUCCAUUCAGCAAGCCAACUUACACAGCUCACACAACACCCUCGUCAGAGCAAACCCAGAGCAAACCCAGAGCCCCGCCUCACCAGGAUACUAACACCAUAUAUACAUAUCCUGUUUUUGUCAUUUCUGUUGGGAGCUCCCUUUCGGGUUCGCUGUGUUUCUUUACUCCCUGAUUCUAUUCAUAUUAUUUUAAGCUCCUGCCUUGGUUUAAUUGUCUUGGUCUCCUUUAUCUGUUACUUUAAUUGUAUUUUUGUCUUAAUAAACAGCUAAAGUGUCCUUUCUUUCAGUCUGUGUCUUUUGUUUCAUUAAGGACAUUUAACAUCUAAUAUCCUCUGCCUGACCAUGAAUGCAAACGCCGGAGAAGGCAUGGAAAUGCUGAGCAGGUUGCAGGAAAUAAUUCAAAAUAAUAAACGUUAUGUGAUACCAGUCCUGGGUGUAGUGGCGUUGAUGUGUGCUUCAUCUGGUAUAAUCACGCACUACCAAAACCUCCCUCCUGAAAUCAAAGCAUUAAUAUGUGAUUGCCUAAGGUACAUGAUACUCAAUGCAAUAAAGUACUGAAGCUUGUCAACAGGAGUAAUUCAACACUAAAUAUGUGUAUCAAGAAAUGGCUGCAGCAAUGGGAAUGGACAUCUAUAGAAUAAAGCUCAGCAACAGGGAACGGGUUCUUCACGCACUUAUUUCUCUUAUUUGCAUCACCCCGUCUGAAUCUUCUUUAACUGUUAUAUUUUAACUGAUGCAUUCCUUCAAGCUUCCUUAACUGAUAUGUAGCACACAGAUAUAUUCUUAUGAGCUACAGAAAUUGUCUUAAUCAUACUUAUAUUAUUGUUUAGGGUUUUAUUUCUUUUGGGAAUAUGUCUCUGUCCUGAAAUUAAUUCUCAUAAUCAUUAAAAAUCUUUUAUCCACUUGAUAAUCCAAAAAGUGAAAUAAACAAUGUUAAGCAUUUAUGGUUUUGAUGUUUGGUUUUUGUAGUUUGGAUAGGUGUAGUAGUCUUGGAUAGGUUACUUUCUUUAUAUUCUGGCUCUACUUUAUGUCUACAAUGUCAU
Ictalurus furcatus (blue catfish) is the source of this 1054-nucleotide long non-coding RNA. RefSeq lists it as uncharacterized. Lineage: Eukaryota; Metazoa; Chordata; Actinopteri; Siluriformes; Ictaluridae. The transcript is spliced from 4 exons. The record is from RefSeq and is a predicted model, not a curated record.